RNAcentral lists this long non-coding RNA (249 nucleotides) under Phoenix dactylifera (date palm). Its description in RNAcentral is "long non-coding RNA (PDAC_LNC021335)". Lineage: Eukaryota; Viridiplantae; Streptophyta; Magnoliopsida; Arecales; Arecaceae. The record is from RNAcentral.
CACGUGCCGCUGGCGUCCCUUGGGGUUAUCCUGCGCUUGGAAGAAGAAGUAGAAAAAGGAAAAAAAUAUAGUGAUAGUUUUAUUCUUCGUCGCCGUAAAUAGGAAUAUUUAAUGAUGAACCUCUAGGUGCAGUUAUCGUAUGAUACAGUCCUUCUAUCGUGGAUCCCUACAGGACGGAGGUCAUGGAAAACUCGUCAAACCCCAUCAUCUGUCAUAUGUCGAAUUUAUUCGACAUGAGUUCGAGAGUAG